AGUCCACAAUGAGUCAGUAUCCAGGAAAUAGAGGGGGGAAUGGAAAAGGAAGAUUCCAAGAAUUUUCAAAAACACAAGAAAAGAGCUUUGGACUUCCACAGGCCGUGGAUUGGGGAGAGGUAUAAGCCAAUAUAAGUCCAUCUUUUGGGACUUGGAUUUUAGCCAGACCCUAUCUCCCAUCAUCGGCUGCAAGACGACAGUUCCAAACACAUGCCUGUAAUUGUCCUCAGCGUUGGCUUCCUUCUCGAGGACUUGGGUACUGUUCUUCAUGAGCCCUAAUUUUACGGCAUGUUGGAAUGGCUCAACAUUGAAGCCAAAGUGGUACGUGCCAGGUGAACAUCCUCACGGUAAGACUGAAGUGGUACAUGCCAGGGGAACAUCAUCCCCGUGGUAAGAUUGAAGUAGUACAUGCCAGGUGAACAUUCCUGUGGUAAGAU
RNAcentral lists this small RNA (437 nucleotides) under Pongo abelii (Sumatran orangutan). RNAcentral describes it as "processed transcript". The record is from RNAcentral. Lineage: Eukaryota; Metazoa; Chordata; Mammalia; Primates; Hominidae.